This 253-nucleotide ribosomal RNA is filed under the name uncultured bacterium. RNAcentral describes it as "partial 16S ribosomal RNA". It matches the Rfam family "Bacterial small subunit ribosomal RNA", at positions 524 to 776 of the family's 1533-position model. The record is from RNAcentral.
UACAGAGGUCUCGAGCGUUAGUCGGAAUCACUGGGCUUAAAGCGUGUGUAGGUGGAUGCCUAAGUACCUUGUGAAAUCCCACAGCUUAACUGUGGAACUGCUUGGUAUACUGGGUGUCUUGAGUCACUCAGGGGCGAGCGGAACAAAUGGUGGAGCGGUGAAAUGCGUAGAUAUCAUGUGGAACGCCAAUGGUGAAAACAGCUCGCUGGGGGUGCACUGACACUGAGACACGAAAGCCAAGGGAGCGAACGGG